UUGAUUUGUCCUAAGUCAAACUUGUUUAGCUUUUACCAAAUUUAUAAAAAAAAUAUAACAACUAUACUAUCAAACAUAUACACUAUCAAAACAUAUUCCAUGGUGGAUUCAACCAAAUAAAUUCGGUAUUAUAAAUGUUGCUAUAUUUUUCUAUAAACUUGGUCAGAAUUGAACAAGUUUGACUUAGAACAAACCAAA
RNAcentral lists this microRNA precursor (198 nucleotides) under Dichanthelium oligosanthes. Its description in RNAcentral is "MIR1435 microRNA precursor family". It matches the Rfam family "MIR1435 microRNA precursor family". The record is from Rfam by way of RNAcentral. Lineage: Eukaryota; Viridiplantae; Streptophyta; Magnoliopsida; Poales; Poaceae.